RNAcentral lists this ribosomal RNA (484 nucleotides) under uncultured bacterium. RNAcentral describes it as "partial 16S ribosomal RNA". It matches the Rfam family "Bacterial small subunit ribosomal RNA", at positions 30 to 507 of the family's 1533-position model. The record is from RNAcentral.
AUUGAACGCUGGCGACAGGCCUAACACAUGCCAGUCGAGCGGAUGAAGGGAGCUUGCUCCUGGAUUCAGCGGCGGACGGGUGAGUAAUGCCUAGGAAUCUGCCUGGUAGUGGGGGAUAACGUCCGGAAACGGGCGCUAAUACCGCAUACGUCCUGAGGGAGAAAGUGGGGGAUCUUCGGACCUCACGCUAUCAGAUGAGCCUAGGUCGGAUUAGCUAGUUGGUGGGGUAAAGGCCUACCAAGGCGACGAUCCGUAACUGGUCUGAGAGGAUGAUCAGUCACACUGGAACUGAGACACGGUCCAGACUCCUACGGGAGGCAGCAGUGGGGAAUAUUGGACAAUGGGCGAAAGCCUGAUCCAGCCAUGCCGCGUGUGUGAAGAAGGUCUUCGGAUUGUAAAGCACUUUAAGUAGGGAGGAAGGGCAGUAAGUUAAUACCUUGCUGUUUUGACGUUACCAACAGAAUAAGCACCGGCUAACUUCGUG